CGGAGCGUAGCUCAGCCUGGUAGAGCGCCAGCUUUGGGAGCUGGAUGUCGAGAGUUCGAAUCCCUCCGCUCCGA
This 74-nucleotide transfer RNA is filed under the name Pseudomonadota bacterium. RNAcentral's name for it is "Proteobacteria bacterium tRNA-Pro". It matches the Rfam family "tRNA". Rfam says of the family: Transfer RNA (tRNA) molecules are approximately 80 nucleotides in length. Their secondary structure includes four short double-helical elements and three loops (D, anti-codon, and T loops). Lineage: Bacteria; Pseudomonadati; Pseudomonadota. The record is from RNAcentral. RNAcentral also lists the same sequence under 2 other names.